UGGGGGAUAUUGCACAAUGGGCGAAAGCCUGAUGCAGCGACGCCGCGUGGGGGAUGAAGGCCUUCGGGUUGUAAACUUCUUUUGCUCUGAACAAGGCAUGCCUUUGGGGUGUGUUGAGUGUAGGGGUUGAUUAGCGCCGGCUAACUACGUGCCAGCAGCCGCGGUAAUACGUAGGGCGCGAGCGUUGUCCGGAAUUAUUGGGCGUAAAGGGCUUGUAGGUGGCUGGUUGCGUCUGUCGUGAAAGCUCAUGGCUUAACUGUGGGUUUGCGGUGGGUACGGGCUGGCUUGAGUGCAGUAGGGGAGGCUGGAAUUCCUGGUGUAGCGGUGGAAUGCGCAGAUAGCAGGAGGAAUACCGGUGGCGAAGGCGGGUCUCUGGGCUGUUACUGACGCUGAGGAGCGAAAGCGUGGGGAGCGAACAGG
This 420-nucleotide ribosomal RNA is filed under the name Fusobacteriota bacterium. Its description in RNAcentral is "Fusobacteria bacterium partial 16S ribosomal RNA". It matches the Rfam family "Bacterial small subunit ribosomal RNA", at positions 355 to 776 of the family's 1533-position model. Lineage: Bacteria; Fusobacteriati; Fusobacteriota. The record is from RNAcentral.